Molecule: long non-coding RNA, 560 nt
Filed under: Hordeum vulgare
Lineage: Eukaryota; Viridiplantae; Streptophyta; Magnoliopsida; Poales; Poaceae
Description: long non-coding RNA (HVUL_LNC003260)
Source: RNAcentral
AACAUUUAUGUGGCAUAUGUGGCGUCCACGUACGACCACAAAUUUCACAAAGCAGCCACUGCUAGAAACACAAACGGUGCCACUGCAAUCUACAAAAUAGACUUUCUCACAGAAAAAUACUCUAAAUCUCUCUCCAGAUUAAACAUUUAUCUACAGCUUAUACGGUCUCAGAUAAUAAUUAAACUACAGGAUAACAUUCAUAUAGUCACAGUACAAGAAAGAGCAAAAUCCACAAAGCAACAGCAAAUUGCACCAUGAAUCAAUCAUUUUUCUUCAGAUCAGGCUGCUAUGCUCUCUAACUGAAGAUUCGGGUGAUCCGUGGAAGCUUACUCCAGAUGCUUGCCUUGAGCAAAACCCUGUAGUCGAAAAAAGAAGAAGAAAAUUUAGUAUGCCAUUAUUUCCUGAAGACCAACGCCUUUUUGAACUACAUGGCUAGCAGCUAGCAGUAUAUGGUAUUUGAUAAUAUAUCUGGCUAAGAAACUACUAUGUAAAGCAUCAAAUAAGAGUGAUAUAUAUACAGUUGAUUGCUUGAUAAUAUAUCUGACUGUUGCAGAUUCCAC